Molecule: ribosomal RNA, 807 nt
Filed under: Nodulisporium sp. JW89-5
Lineage: Eukaryota; Fungi; Ascomycota; Sordariomycetes; Xylariales; Xylariaceae
Description: eukaryotic LSU rRNA
Rfam family: Eukaryotic large subunit ribosomal RNA (bases 537-807)
Source: RNAcentral
ACAAGGUCUCCGUUGGUGAACCAGCGGAGGGAUCAUUAAAGAGAGCCUAAAAAACUCCCGCAAAACCCCAUGUGAACAUACCAUACGUUGCCUCGGCAGGCCCCAGACGCGCCUGGCGCGCGCACCCCCAGGGGGGGCGCGGGCUGGGACCUGCCGGCGGCCCAAGCAAACCCUGUCGUCACUGAAUUCUGAGCCCGCACGUAGGAAAUUAAGUUAAAACUUUCAACAACGGAUCUCUUGGUUCUGGCAUCGAUGAAGAACGCAGCGAAAUGCGAUAAGUAAUGUGAAUUGCAGAAUUCAGUGAAUCAUCGAAUCUUUGAACGCACAUUGCGCCCGCCAGUAUUCUGGCGGGCAUGCCUGUUCGAGCGUCAUUUCAACCCCUUAAGCCCCUGUUGCUUAGCGUUGGGAGCCUACGGCCCGCCGUAGCUCCUCAAAGUUAGUGGCGGAGCCGGCCCGCACCCCAGGCGUAGUAGUUCAGUCAGCUCGCCCGCGGUCGGACCAGUCCCCUGCCGUAAAACACCCCAUUCUCGCAAGGUUGACCUCGGAUCAGGUAGGGAUACCCGCUGAACUUAAGCAUAUCAAUAAGCGGAGGAAAAGAAACCAACAGGGAUUGCCCUAGUAACGGCGAGUGAAGCGGCAACAGCUCAAAUUUGAAAUCUGGCCCUCGGGUCCGAGUUGUAAUUUGUAGAGGACGCCUUUGGCGCGGUGCCUUCCGAGUUCCCUGGAACGGGACGCCUUAGAGGGUGAGAGCCCCGUACGGUUGGACACCAAGCCUCUGUAAGGCCCCUUCGACGAGUCGAGUAGGUG